AACGAACGCUGGCGGCGUGCUUAACACAUGCAAGUCGAACGCGAAAGGGGCUUCGGUCCUGAGUAGAGUGGCGCACGGGUGAGUAACGCGUAGAUAACCUGUCCUGGUGUCUGGAAUAAUAUCUCGAAAGGGGUGCUAAUACCGGAUAUUCUUGCUUUCUACAAGGUAUGCAAGGAAAGGUGGCCUCUGGAACAAGCUACUGCACGAGGAGGGGUCUGCGUACCAUUAGCUAGUAGGUGGGGUAAUGGCCUACCUAGGCGACGAUGGUUAGCGGGUCUGAGAGGAUGAUCCGCCACACUGGUACUGGAACACGGACCAGACUCCUACGGGUGGCUG
This 336-nucleotide ribosomal RNA is filed under the name uncultured Pseudomonadota bacterium. RNAcentral describes it as "bacterial SSU rRNA". It matches the Rfam family "Bacterial small subunit ribosomal RNA", at positions 29 to 351 of the family's 1533-position model. Lineage: Bacteria; Pseudomonadati; Pseudomonadota. The record is from RNAcentral.